GAUGAACGCUAGCUACAGGCUUAACACAUGCAAGUCGAGGGGUAGCAGGGUAGCAAUACCGCUGACGACCGGCGCACGGGUGAGUAACACGUAUCCAACCUUCCCAUAACUCGGGGAUAGCCUUUCGAAAGAAAGAUUAAUACCCGAUAGUACUUUUUCAAGGCAUCUUGAGAAAGUUAAAGAUUUAUUGGUUAUGGAUGGGGAUGCGUUCCAUUAGAUAGUUGGUGAGGUAACGGCUCACCAAGUCUUCGAUGGAUAGGGGUUCUGAGAGGAAGGUCCCCCACAUUGGUACUGAGACACGGACCAAACUCCUACGGGAGGCAGCAGUGAGGAAUAUUGGUCAAUGGGCGAGAGCCUGAACCAGUCAAGUAGCGUGAAGGAUGAAGGUCCUAUGGAUUGUAAACUUCUUUUAUAGUAGAAUAAAGUGAUCCACGUGUGGAUUUUUGUAUGUAUACUAUGAAUAAGGAUCGGCUAUCUCCGUGCCAGCCGCCGCAGUAA
RNAcentral lists this ribosomal RNA (498 nucleotides) under uncultured bacterium. RNAcentral describes it as "partial 16S ribosomal RNA". It matches the Rfam family "Bacterial small subunit ribosomal RNA", at positions 28 to 523 of the family's 1533-position model. The record is from RNAcentral.